GCUUCUUCUCUAAGGCUUUCUCUAUUGUUGUUGAAGGAGAGAAGCUCAGCAAAAACCAGAGGAACCGAGCAGCACCAGCCCCUCCAUCGUCGCACGCUCGGAAGGCCAUCGUCGGCCGUUUUCCUCCUCUGUUUUCUCCUCGUUCCAGUUUCUGCUCCAGCCGACCUUUCGCCAAUGAUCCGAGUAAAAAGUUGACUUCCCGGAUGAAUCAGCGAACGCUCCACCCACGUCCGUGACGAGGACAUCCAGACCGUUCCGGAUCACCUCGACGCUCGCCGGAACAAUUCUCCGAUCGUCCCGAAAUCCUGAGAGAAGCUGCCGCUCGCCGGACCGUCUGGUUCCGCCCUGCUCCGCCUGUUCCGUGUUUUCUUGUUAUUUCGCCCCAUUCCGACCAUUCCUUUGCCCGUCCCAACCUCCAGCAAGAUCCCCAAGACCCCCGGGAGCCGCUGGUUGCCAACCACCCGCUUGCUGGAGCUCCGAUCGGUCCGUUUUCGCCGUUGAAGUUGCUGGUUUUUUCUCUGCAGUUCAGUCCAGAUCAGAAGCAGAAGACAGCAAGGUUUUGGAGACUUCGUGGCCCAUUUUCAAGCCCUUCCCGGCCUCCGUUGGUGUCGCCGCUUUGGGGUUUAUCGACCGCCUUGGCGUCGUGGUCGCCGUGAACUCACCGGCGCGCAAAACCGGUCCCUAGAUGACGGUCGUGAAGGACCGAAAGUCCUGGAGUUCGGAAGGCGGAGGCUGAAGAAUUGGUGAACGUGUCUGACAAGUCGGUCAUAGGAUAGUUCCCUUUUUGUUGAGCCGGUCUAUUUUAUAGUCAAUCCAGUGUUGUAUAUAAACCUAUGUGUUUAUAAGAAAGCUUGUUUGGUUGUGAUUGAUUGCCUGCUUUUCUAUCCCAA
Long non-coding RNA from Eucalyptus grandis, 890 nucleotides. RefSeq lists it as uncharacterized. Lineage: Eukaryota; Viridiplantae; Streptophyta; Magnoliopsida; Myrtales; Myrtaceae. The transcript has 2 exons. The record is from RefSeq and is a predicted model, not a curated record.